RNAcentral lists this ribosomal RNA (254 nucleotides) under uncultured bacterium. Its description in RNAcentral is "partial 16S ribosomal RNA". It matches the Rfam family "Bacterial small subunit ribosomal RNA", at positions 524 to 776 of the family's 1533-position model. The record is from RNAcentral.
UACGUAGGGUGCGAGCGUUGUCCGGAAUUAUUGGGCGUAAAGAGCUCGUAGGCGGUGUGUCGCGUCGGCCGUGAAAACCUGCAGCUUAACCGUGGGCGUGCGGUCGAUACGGGCAUCACUGGAGUUCGGCAGGGGAGACUGGAAUUCCUGGUGUAGCGGUGAAAUGCGCAGAUAUCAGGAGGAACACCGGUGGCGAAGGCGGGUCUCUGGGCCGAUACUGACGCUGAGGAGCGAAAGCGUGGGGAGCGAACAGG